Molecule: ribosomal RNA, 253 nt
Filed under: uncultured bacterium
Lineage: Bacteria
Description: partial 16S ribosomal RNA
Rfam family: Bacterial small subunit ribosomal RNA
Source: RNAcentral
UACGAAGGGGGCUAGCGUUGUUCGGAAUCACUGGGCGUAAAGCGCACGUAGGCGGAUCUUUAAGUCAGGGGUGAAAUCCCGAGGCUCAACCUCGAAACUGCCUUUGAUACUGGGGAUCUCGAGUCCGGGAGAGGUGAGUGGAACUGCGAGUGUAGAGGUGAAAUUCGUAGAUAUUCGCAAGAACACCAGUGGCGAAGGCGGCUCACUGGCCCGGAACUGACGCUGAGGUGCGAAAGCGUGGGGAGCAAACAGG